This 433-nucleotide ribosomal RNA is filed under the name uncultured bacterium. RNAcentral's name for it is "partial 16S ribosomal RNA". It matches the Rfam family "Bacterial small subunit ribosomal RNA", at positions 29 to 507 of the family's 1533-position model. The record is from RNAcentral.
AGCGAACGCUGGCGGCAGGCUUAACACAUGCAAGUCGAGCGGGCACUUCGGUGUCAGCGGCAGACGGGUGUGUAACACGUGGGAACGUACCCUUUGGUUCGGAAUAACGCUGGGAAACUAGCGCUAAUACCGGAUACGCCCUUUUGGGGAAAGGCUUGCUGCCGAAGGAUCGGCCCGCGUCUGAUUAGCUAGUUGGUGGGGUAAUGGCCUACCAAGGCGACGAUCAGUAGCUGGUCUGAGAGGAUGAUCAGCCACACUGGGACUGAGACACGGCCCAGACUCCUACGGGAGGCAGCAGUGGGGAAUAUUGGACACUGGGCGCAAGCCUGAUCCAGCCAUGCCGCGUGAGUGAUGAAGGCCUUAGGGUUGUAAAGCUCUUUUGUCCGGGACGAUAAUGACGGUACCGGAAGAAUAAGCCCCGGCUAACUUCGUG